RNAcentral lists this ribosomal RNA (506 nucleotides) under Bacillus sp. (in: firmicutes). RNAcentral's name for it is "bacterial SSU rRNA". It matches the Rfam family "Bacterial small subunit ribosomal RNA", at positions 22 to 511 of the family's 1533-position model. Lineage: Bacteria; Bacillati; Bacillota; Bacilli; Caryophanales; Bacillaceae. The record is from RNAcentral.
GCUCAGGACGAACGCUGGCGGCGUGCCUAAUACAUGCAAGUCGAGCGAAUCGAUGGGAGCUUGCUCCCUGAGAUUAGCGGCGGACGGGUGAGUAACACGUGGGCAACCUGCCUAUAAGACUGGGAUAACUUCGGGAAACCGGAGCUAAUACCGGAUACGUUCUUUUCUCGCAUGAGAGAAGAUGGAAAGACGGUUUACGCUGUCACUUAUAGAUGGGCCCGCGGCGCAUUAGCUAGUUGGUGAGGUAAUGGCUCACCAAGGCGACGAUGCGUAGCCGACCUGAGAGGGUGAUCGGCCACACUGGGACUGAGACACGGCCCAGACUCCUACGGGAGGCAGCAGUAGGGAAUCUUCCGCAAUGGACGAAAGUCUGACGGAGCAACGCCGCGUGAACGAAGAAGGCCUUCGGGUCGUAAAGUUCUGUUGUUAGGGAAGAACAAGUACCAGAGUAACUGCUGGUACCUUGACGGUACCUAACCAGAAAGCCACGGCUAACUACGUGCCAG